GACGAACGCUGGCGGCGUGCUUAACACAUGCAAGUCGAACGGAAAGGCCCCUUUGGGGGUACUCGAGUGGCGAACGGGUGAGUAACACGUGAGUAACCUGCCCUUGACUUCGGGAUAACUUCAGGAAACUGGGGCUAAUACCGGAUAGGAAUCCUUGCUGCAUGGUGGGGGUUGGAAAGCUUCGGCGGUUUUGGAUGGACUCGCGGCUUAUCAGCUUGUUGGUGGGGUAGUGGCUUACCAAGGCUUUGACGGGUAGCCGGCCUGAGAGGGCGACCGGCCACAAUGGGACUGAGAGACGGCCCAGACUCCUACGGGAGGCAGCAGUGGGGAAUAUUGCACAAUGGGCGGAAGCCUGAUGCAGCAACGCCGCGUGCGGGAUGACGGCCUUCGGGUUGUAAACCGCUUUCAGCAGGGGCGAAGCUUGUGGUGACGGUACCUGCAGAAGAAGCACCGGCUAACUACGUG
Molecule: ribosomal RNA, 465 nt
Filed under: uncultured bacterium
Lineage: Bacteria
Description: partial 16S ribosomal RNA
Rfam family: Bacterial small subunit ribosomal RNA
Source: RNAcentral